RNAcentral lists this long non-coding RNA (337 nucleotides) under Carica papaya (papaya). RNAcentral describes it as "long non-coding RNA (CPAP_LNC011654)". Lineage: Eukaryota; Viridiplantae; Streptophyta; Magnoliopsida; Brassicales; Caricaceae. The record is from RNAcentral.
CCUAGGCAACCCUGUUACAAAACUCAUUAUGAUAUGUUUCCACUUUCAAUCCGGGAUUGGUAAUAGCUGAAGUAGCCUACCUAGGCGUUGAUGUUCUACCUUAACCUAUUGACAUACUACACACUUAAAAACAAAGCUAGCUACCUCUGUUAUAAUGUCCCUUUUCAGUUUACUAUCACCUAGAACACACAUCAUGUCCUGAAAUCUGAACAAUCCAUCGAUAGAGACUCAAAAUUCUAAAUUUACUCCCUAUUCUACAUCUUUCCUGAGAACUACUAGGGUGGAAUCGGUAGAUUGAGCUUCUUUUAUUCUUUUGAUCAAUUCUAGUUAAACAGUC